AGGGUUCCUUUGAGAAAAUUUGAUGACAAAUCGAUAUAUGUCAAAAUGGUGCAAUUAGUUAAAGAAUUAAACAAACUCAAGUCAUCUUGCAGUUGAUUCUGGGCAAAUUCAAGAUACACAAGAUGCUGCAGCAUUCCGAAUUCUUUGGGAACUAAGCCAGAAAAUCUAUUAGACGGAAUGGAAAUUUGGUAAAGGGCAGAAGCAUUUGACAAUGAAAUUGGGAUGGGUCCAGUAAACCUAUUGUAUGAAAAAUCAAGGGCUAUCAGAUUUGGAAGAGUGAGGCCCAUAUCAGAAGGGAGUCUUCCAUGCAGUUGGUUAUUGCCUACUGAUAUGUAGGAAAUGCUGGAGAUGUUGAAGAGACCAGGAGGGAUCUCGCCAAUUAGAUUAAUAUCUGUAACCACAAAAUAUUCUAAGUUCCCAAGACGAGAGAUUUCCUCUGGAAUCUGUCCGUGCAAAUCAUUUUCUCCUA
Molecule: unclassified non-coding RNA, 469 nt
Filed under: Hevea brasiliensis (rubber tree)
Lineage: Eukaryota; Viridiplantae; Streptophyta; Magnoliopsida; Malpighiales; Euphorbiaceae
Source: RNAcentral